RNAcentral lists this transfer RNA (87 nucleotides) under Candidatus Peribacteria bacterium RIFCSPHIGHO2_01_FULL_49_38. RNAcentral describes it as "tRNA-Leu". It matches the Rfam family "tRNA". Rfam says of the family: Transfer RNA (tRNA) molecules are approximately 80 nucleotides in length. RNAcentral also lists the same sequence under 3 other names. Lineage: Bacteria; Candidatus Peregrinibacteriota; Candidatus Peribacteria. The record is from RNAcentral.
GCCCAGGUGGUGAAAUUGGUAGACACGCACGCUUGAGGGGCGUGUGGGAGCAAUCCCGUGGAAGUUCGAGUCUUCUCCUGGGCACCA